UGGGUCUACCUCCACAACGCACUCCACGCCCAAGGGACAGGGCUAGGCGUCACCAGCCCACAGGUAUGGACAGUCUCAUUAAUGACAUGGGCGAAUUGCAGAUUGGGCAAGAAGCAACAUUGCAACUGGCGUUACAAAACGGCCAACAUAUCCGACGUGUGCGAGAGGAAGACGCACAACGCUGGGUUGGAUGGUACCAAAAUUUCCCGCCACCACAGUGAGCGAAGAUCUAGCUUGGGGGAGAUCCUCUCCCCCACUAAGGUAAGUAUUCUAUCCUAUUUAUUUUCAUGCAUUUUAUCAUUCUUACUUAAAAAAAAUAAAUAUUUAUUAGCAUUUCCCUUUAGCAUAUAUGCUUCAUGUAUGUUUAUAUCCCUCAUGGAAAUUAUGACUAGUUGCUUGUUAAUGUUUCUCUAGUGCCUAGUAUACAACUUAGUAUUUCUCUAAGUAUGGAUCACUUAGCUCACUUAAACUGCCAUGAACCUAAAAACUUUGUGGGUUGCAAGUGCUAGAACUAAGUCUAAGUUAUUGUGGGACAUGAGAUAGUAAGACAAGAGCUACUAUAAUAUUUUUCUAAGCAUGCAUGAUUAUCAGAGAUUUAUUCUUAAAAUGAUCAAAACCUUAAUUGUUCCUCAAUGGUGACGAAUUCCUACCACAGCCAUAUCUACUUUACAUAAUUGCAACCUUUCCACAUAAGCUAUUUGCUUUGUGUUGAGUGUCGUCAAGUCUUGUUGACCCUUGUUAAGAGACUUUUCAUGCUCCUAAGAUCAAGAUCACGUACACACCACAUAUAUAUAUGCUGCUUCUACACUGGAAGUACGCAACCACAUGUAUUUCGCAUCCACUAAAUAGGUUGCUCCAUACUCUAAAUGUUAGAACAUCUCUCUAAGCAUUAUUUGGUAAAUGAGACAUCAAAAGGCUAGGCAAAAUGAAAUAAAAAGAUGGACAUGUGCAAGUCCACAGAAAAAGAAAAUUGAGCACAUGAAAGCUCAUAUAUAUAUAUAAAAAAAAAGAGAAGAAAAAAAAAUGCUAGCCAUGUCUCAAUACAUAGAGAGUCUAUCAAAUAAAGGAGCAACCUAGUCCACCAUAUAUCACACUUGCACAUCUUGAUCUGGGAGUAUGACACUUCUCUUCAAGGAUCCGAGCUUUGACUUCGCAAUACAUGCAAAGUAAGUAUGCUAUCUCCUUUCAUCCCUACCUUGAACUCCACAUAAGCCUUUUAGAAAUAGGAUGAAAUAGAGAAGGCAACUCUUACCAUAUGCCUUGGUGAGGAAUCAUACACCAUUUGAGUGACAUGAGAGAACCAUAAGAGGAACAUUUAAGCUUUCUUUUGAAAAUAUCACAAAACCUCUGAUAUGAAACUUGCUAAGAAUGAGAAAGUUAGUGCUCAAGUCAAACUGUUCUGUCUCUCAACCACCUAAGACAAAGGAAAAGCCAUAAGCCCCAUAAGGGACUAAGGUAAUAGGGGUAAGUUUACAUAGCUAAAUUUUUCAUGCAAAGAGAAGAACUUUGUUGUACACAUGGUACUCUUGAAAUGUGAACAUAGUAACAAUACCUGAUCCACCGAGGCUAAGUUUGAUUGUUUGCUCGGGACGAGCAAAGGUUAAGCUUGGGGGAUCUUGUUGACGGUGGAUAUACCAUAGAAAUCCACAUACAAAACACCGUCAACAUGCCUCGGUUGCAAGGAGAAACGACAUGACAUGAACAUAUUUUAUCCAUAACUAGUUCCACUUGUACUCUUAGCUUGUUUAUGUAGGAACAACAAAUUCAAGACAUUAUUUGACAAAGCCAACAUCAGAAUCAUCAAGAGGAGAUCGAGGGGACAACAAGUGACACCCUGGGCCCACAGGGAGGGGGUCGCCCGACCCCUCUUUGGUGGGACCCAGGUGUGCCACCUAGUCCACCGACAUAAGGGACCCCUGUGGACACUGCUGGUGGGCCCAGAGGCCCAGAAGUGGGGUCGCCCGACCCCACAUCAAAGGCGGUUCCAGGGUCGGUGGCCUCCCACCGACCUUCCCCACAUGUCCCACAUGUUGAUUUGCCCC
This 2042-nucleotide long non-coding RNA is filed under the name Sorghum bicolor (sorghum). RNAcentral describes it as "long non-coding RNA (SBIC_LNC002531)". The record is from RNAcentral. Lineage: Eukaryota; Viridiplantae; Streptophyta; Magnoliopsida; Poales; Poaceae.